UUUUCUCAGUAACGUAGCUAACGCGUGAAGUUGACCGCCUGGGGAGUACGGUCGCAAGAUUAAAACUCAAAGGAAUUGACGGGGACCCGCACAAGCGGNGGAUGAUGUGGAUUAAUUCGAUGCAACGCGAAAAACCUUACCUACCCUUGACAUGCCACUAACGAAGCAGAGAUGCAUUAGGUGCCCGAAAGGGAAAGUGGACACAGGUGCUGCAUGGCUGUCGUCAGCUCGUGUCGUGAGAUGUUGGGUUAAGUCCCGCAACGAGCGCAACCCUUGUCUCUAGUUGCUACGCAAGAGCACUCUAGAGAGACUGCCGGUGACAAACCGGAGGAAGGUGGGGAUGACGUCAAGUCCUCAUGGCCCUUAUGGGUAGGGCUUCACACGUCAUACAAUGGUGCGUACAGAGGGUUGCCAACCCGCGAGGGGGAGCUAAUCCCAGAAAACGCAUCGUAGUCCGGAUCGUAGUCUGCAACUCGACUACGUGAAGCUGGAAUCGCUAGUAAUCGCGGAUCAGCAUGCCGCGGUGAAUA
Molecule: ribosomal RNA, 530 nt
Filed under: uncultured bacterium
Lineage: Bacteria
Description: bacterial SSU rRNA
Rfam family: Bacterial small subunit ribosomal RNA
Source: RNAcentral